Molecule: ribosomal RNA, 484 nt
Filed under: uncultured bacterium
Lineage: Bacteria
Description: partial 16S ribosomal RNA
Rfam family: Bacterial small subunit ribosomal RNA
Source: RNAcentral
AGUGAACGCUGGCGGCGUGCUUAACACAUGCAAGUCGAACGAGAACGGGCUAUAGCUUGCUAUAGUUGUCAGCUAAGUGGCGCACGGGUGAGUAAUGUAUAGGUAAUAUGCCUCUUACUAAGGGAUAACAAAUGGAAACGUUUGCUAAUACCUUAUACUCCUUAUUAACAGUAGUUAAUAGGGGAAAGAUUUAUUGGUAAGAGAUUAGCCUGUAUUGUAUCAGUUAGUUGGUGGGGUAAUGGCUUACCAAGACUAUGACACAUAACUGGUUUGAGAGGAUGAUCAGUCACACUGGAACUGAGACACGGUCCAGACUCCUACGGGAGGCAGCAGUGGGGAAUAUUGCACAAUGGACGAAAGUCUGAUGCAGCAACGCCGCGUGGGGGAUGACACAUUUCGGUGCGUAAACUCCUUUUAUAUGAGAAGAUAAUGACGGUAUUAUAUGAAUAAGCACCGGCUAACUCCGUGCCAGCCGCCGCGGUAA